UACGGAGGGAGCUAGCGUUGUUCGGAAUUACUGGGCGUAAAGCGCACGUAGGCGGCUUUGUAAGUUAGAGGUGAAAGCCUGGGGCUCAACCCCAGAAUUGCCUUUAAGACUGCAUCGCUUGAAUCCAGGAGAGGUGAGUGGAAUUCCGAGUGCAGAGGUGAAAUUCGUAGAUAUUCGGAAGAACACCAGUGGCGAAGGCGGCUCACUGGACUGGUAUUGACGCUGAGGUGCGAAAGCGUGGGGAGCAAACAGG
This 253-nucleotide ribosomal RNA is filed under the name uncultured bacterium. RNAcentral's name for it is "partial 16S ribosomal RNA". It matches the Rfam family "Bacterial small subunit ribosomal RNA", at positions 524 to 776 of the family's 1533-position model. The record is from RNAcentral.